AGAGUUUGAUCAUGGCUCAGAUUGAACGCUGGCGGCAGGCCUAACACAUGCAAGUCGAACGGUAACAGGAAGCAGCUUGCUGCUUCGCUGACGAGUGGCGGACGGGUGAGUAAUGUCUGGGAAACUGCCUGAUGGAGGGGGAUAACUACUGGAAACGGUAGCUAAUACCGCAUAACGUCGCAAGACCAAAGAGGGGGACCUUCGGGCCUCUUGCCAUCAGAUGUGCCCAGAUGGGAUUAGCUUGUUGGUGGGGUAACGGCUCACCAAGGCGACGAUCCCUAGCUGGUCUGAGAGGAUGACCAGCCACACUGGAACUGAGACACGGUCCAGACUCCUACGGGAGGCAGCAGUGGGGAAUAUUGCACAAUGGGCGCAAGCCUGAUGCAGCCAUGCCGCGUGUAUGAAGAAGGCCUUCGGGUUGUAAAGUACUUUCAGCGGGGAGGAAGGUGUUGUGGUUAAUAACCGCAGCAAUUGACGUUACCCGCAGAAGAAGCACCGGCUAACUCCGUGCCAGCAGCCGCGGUAAUACGGAGGGUGCAAGCGUUAAUCGGAAUUACUGGGCGUAAAGCGCACGCAGGCGGUCUGUUAAGUCAGAUGUGAAAUCCCCGGGCUCAACCUGGGAACUGCAUCUGAUACUGGCAGGCUUGAGUCUCGUAGAGGGGGGUAGAAUUCCAGGUGUAGCGGUGAAAUGCGUAGAGAUCUGGAGGAAUACCGGUGGCGAAGGCGGCCCCCUGGACGAAGACUGACGCUCAGGUGCGAAAGCGUGGGGAGCAAACAGGAUUAGAUACCCUGGUAGUCCACGCCGUAAACGAUGUCGACUUGGAGGUUGUGCCCUUGAGGCGUGGCUUCCGGAGCUAACGCGUUAAGUCGACCGCCUGGGGAGUACGGCCGCAAGGUUAAAACUCAAAUGAAUUGACGGGGGCCCGCACAAGCGGUGGAGCAUGUGGUUUAAUUCGAUGCAACGCGAAGAACCUUACCUGGUCUUGACAUCCACGGAAGUUUUCAGAGAUGAGAAUGUGCCUUCGGGAACCGUGAGACAGGUGCUGCAUGGCUGUCGUCAGCUCGUGUUGUGAAAUGUUGGGUUAAGUCCCGCAACGAGCGCAACCCUUAUCCUUUGUUGCCAGCGGUCCGGCCGGGAACUCAAAGGAGACUGCCAGUGAUAAACUGGAGGAAGGUGGGGAUGACGUCAAGUCAUCAUGGCCCUUACGACCAGGGCUACACACGUGCUACAAUGGCAUAUACAAAGAGAAGCGACCUCGCGAGAGCAAGCGGACCUCAUAAAGUAUGUCGUAGUCCGGAUUGGAGUCUGCAACUCGACUCCAUGAAGUCGGAAUCGCUAGUAAUCGUGGAUCAGAAUGCCACGGUGAAUACGUUCCCGGGCCUUGUACACACCGCCCGUCACACCAUGGGAGUGGGUUGCAAAAGAAGUAGGUAGCUUAACCUUCGGGAGGGCGCUUACCACUUUGUGAUUCAUGACUGGGGUGAAGUCGUAACAAGGUAACCGUAGGGGAACCUGCGGUUGGAUCACCU
This 1530-nucleotide ribosomal RNA is filed under the name Citrobacter koseri. RNAcentral describes it as "bacterial SSU rRNA". It matches the Rfam family "Bacterial small subunit ribosomal RNA". The record is from RNAcentral. Lineage: Bacteria; Pseudomonadati; Pseudomonadota; Gammaproteobacteria; Enterobacterales; Enterobacteriaceae. RNAcentral also lists the same sequence under 1 other name.